This is an RNA transcript of Carassius carassius (crucian carp), 1669 nucleotides long. It is a transcript of the gene named sorting nexin-2-like, with no coding region annotated. The record is from RefSeq and is a predicted model, not a curated record. NCBI's taxonomy places the organism in Eukaryota, Metazoa, Chordata, Actinopteri, Cypriniformes, Cyprinidae. The transcript has 15 exons.
CGCUCUGAGGGCGGAGCAUGAGCUGCAUGAAGCGCUUCUGUCACGAGAGUCGGUCACAUGACAGGCUUCACACACUCUCUCUGUGUGUGUGUGUGUGUGUGUGUGUGUUUGAGGUGUGUCGGCUGCUGUAGCUGAAGAUGUCAGAGGAGAGGAGUUCUUCAGCGCAGACGGAGGAAGACGAGGAUCUGUUCGUCAGCGCGAUGCAGUCUCCAGAAGCAGCUCGUCUGUCUGCAGAAGACCUCAGUCCCAGCUCAAACGGACCCCGAGACGAUGACCCCGAUGACCUCUUCGCCGAAGCGACGGAGGAAGUGUCUCUGGACAGUCCAGAGCGUCAGCCGAUCCUGUCAGACGGACCGUCUCCAGCCAUCACACCGGUCAGCAUCAGCCCCAGAGUGGACGUGUUUGACCGCUCGCCGGACCUGGAUGAAGAAGAAGAGGAAAACAGGGACACGUUUGACAUCCAGAUCUCAGUUUCUGACCCUGAGAAAGUUGGUGACGGCAUGAAUGCGUUCAUGAUCUAUAAAGUGACGACUAAAACCGGUCUGUCCAUAUUCAGCAGAGACGAGGUGUGUGUCAAGAGGCGCUUCAGUGAUUUUCUGGGUUUGCACAGUAAACUAGCCUCCAAGUACAUGCACAUGGGCUUCAUCGUUCCUCCUGCACCUGAGAAGAGCAUUGUGGGAAUGACGAAGGUCAAAGUGGGGAAAGAGGAUCUGUCAUCGGUGGAGUUUGUAGAGAAGAGAAGAUCUGCUCUGGAAAGGUAUCUGCUGAGGACGGUCAAACACCCAGCGCUGCUCAAAGACCCCAAUGUCCUGCAGUUUCUGGAGAGUUCAGAGCUGCCGCGAGCGGUUAGCACACAGGCGCUGAGUGGAGCCGGAAUAUUGAGGAUGGUAAACAAAGCAGCCGACGCUGUCAACAAAAUGACAAUCAAGAUGAAUGAAUCGGAUGCGUGGUUUGAGGAGAAACAGCAGCAGUUUGAGAAUCUGGACGUUCAGCUCAGAAAACUUCACGCUAGUGUGGAAUCACUGGUGUGUCACAGGAAGGAGCUGUCUGUGAACACGGCGGCGUUCGCUAAAAGCGCGGCUAUGCUCGGAAACUCAGAGGAUCACACGGCGCUGUCGCGAGCUCUGUCCCAGCUGGCCGAGGUGGAGGAGAAGAUCGAGCAGCUGCAUCAGGAGCAGGCGUACGCUGACUUCUACCUGAUCUCAGAGCUGCUGGGAGACUAUGUGCGGCUCAUCACCGCCGUCAGAGGAGUGUUUGACCAGCGGAUGAAAACAUGGGGCAAGUGGCAGGACGCUCAGCUGAUGCUGCAGCGCAAGAGAGAAGCCGAAGCCAAACUACAGUACGCCAACAAACCUGAGAAACUGCAGCAGGCCCGAGACGAGAUCAGAGAGCUCCGAUCACCUGACAGCUGCAGGAAUUCAUGACAGUUAUUGAUUCUUUUAAGCACGAAACAUUUCCAGCCUUUUUAAUUUCUGCAUUUUCCCCGUCACGCCCCACAAAGGAGAUCGAGGAGUGGGAAGGUAAAGUGCAGCAGGGGGAAAGAGAUUUUGAGCAGAUCUCGAGAAACAUCCGGCGAGAGGUUGGUCAGUUCGAGAAAGAGCGAGUGAAGGAUUUCAGAGUCGUCAUCAUUAAAUAUCUGGAGUCCCUCGUUCACUCACAGCAGCAGGUA